AUUGAACGCUGGCGGCAGGCCUAACACAUGCAAGUCGAACGGUAACAGGAAGAAGCUUGCUUCUUUGCUGACGAGUGGCGGACGGGUGAGUAAUGUCUGGGAAACUGCCUGAUGGAGGGGGAUAACUACUGGAAACGGUAGCUAAUACCGCAUAACGUCGCAAGACCAAAGAGGGGGACCUUCGGGCCUUUUGCCAUCGGAUGUGCCCAGAUGGGAUUAGCUAGUAGGUGGGGUAACGGCUCACCUAGGCGACGAUCCCUAGCUGGUCUGAGAGGAUGACCAGCCACACUGGAACUGAGACACGGUCCAGACUCCUACGGGAGGCAGCAGUGGGGAAUAUUGCACAAUGGGCGCAAGCCUGAUGCAGCCAUGCCGCGUGUAUGAAGAAGGCCUUCGGGUUGUAAAGUACUUUCAGCGGGGAGGAAGGGAGUAAAGUUAAUACCUUUGCUCAUUGACGUUACCCGCAGAAGAAGCACCGGCUAACUCCGU
This 489-nucleotide ribosomal RNA is filed under the name uncultured bacterium. RNAcentral describes it as "partial 16S ribosomal RNA". It matches the Rfam family "Bacterial small subunit ribosomal RNA", at positions 30 to 506 of the family's 1533-position model. The record is from RNAcentral.